Molecule: ribosomal RNA, 458 nt
Filed under: uncultured bacterium
Lineage: Bacteria
Description: partial 16S ribosomal RNA
Rfam family: Bacterial small subunit ribosomal RNA
Source: RNAcentral
CCUACGGGUGGCAGCAGUGAGGAAUAUUGGUCAAUGGGCUUACGCCUGAACCAGCCAAGUCGCGUGAGGGAAGACUGCCCUAUGGUUUGUAACCCUCUUUUUUCGGGGCGCAAAAGCCGGCCGUAUCUGACUAUGAGAGUACCCGAAGAAAAAGCAUCGGCUACCUCCGUACCAGCAGCCGCGGUAAUACGGAGGAUGCGACCGUUAUCCGGAUGUAUUGGGGUUAAAGGGUGCGCAGGCGGAUUGUUACGUCAGCGGUAAAAUCGUGGGGCUCAACCCCAUCCAGCCGUUGAAACUUGGGAUCUAGAGUGUGCGAGAGGUAGGGGGAAUGCGUGGUGUAGCGGUGAAAUGCAUAGAUAGAAGGCAGAACACCGGUUGCGAAGGCAGCAUACCGGUGAACAACUGACGCUCAGGCACGAAAGCGUGGGUAGCGAACAGGAUUAGAUACCCGUGUAGUC